RNAcentral lists this small RNA (2711 nucleotides) under Pongo abelii (Sumatran orangutan). Its description in RNAcentral is "processed transcript". Lineage: Eukaryota; Metazoa; Chordata; Mammalia; Primates; Hominidae. The record is from RNAcentral.
GGAGACUGAGCCCCUGGAUGAUGAUGAGGUAGCUGACCCAGGCGGCUCUGAGGAGGAGAACGGCCUAGAAGACACUGAACCUCCAGUGCAGACAGCCAUCCUGACAGCUUCAGCCCCAGCAGCUCAGGCCGGAGCAUCUCAGGGGCUACACGCUUUGCUGGAGGAACGGAUCCACAACUACAGAGAGGCUGCGGCCAGUGCCAAGGAGGCAGGCGAAGCAGCCAAAGCCAGGCGCUGCGAGCGUGGCCUGAAGACCUUGGAGUCGCAGCUAGCCUCUGUGAGGAGAGGCAGAAAGAUCAAUGAGGAUGAGAUCCCACCUCCAGUGGCCUUAGGAAAGCGGCCCCUGGCCCCCCAGGAACCAGCCAACAGGAGCCCUGAGGCAGACCCUCCAGCUCCCCCUGCCUUGGAGUCAGCCCGUUUCAGACUCAGACCCAGACCCGCGGGCCCUGCUGUCAUCCCGACAGAGAGAGUACAAAGCGGCUGCCCUCAGUGCCAAGCGGGCUGGAGAGCUAGACCGUGCCCGAGAGCUCAUGAGGAUUGGGAAGAGAUUUGGUGCUGUCCUGGAGGCCCUGGAGAAGGGGCAGCCUGUGGAUCUGAGUGCCAUGCCCCCGGCACCUGAGGAUCUGAAGCCCCGGCAGGCUUCUCAGGCCGCCACAGCACCCUCAGUCAUUCCCCCAGCCGUGGAGCGAAUGCAGCCAGUGAUGGCCCCUGAAGUCCCAGCAACCCCAGUGGCCCCUACAGAGUCACAGACAGUGCUGGAUGCCCUGCAGCAGAGGCUGAACAAGUACCGUGAGGCGGGCAUCCAGGCCCGGAGUGGUGGGGACGAGCGCAAGGCUCGGAUGCAUGAGCGCAUUGCCAAGCAAUAUCAAGAUGCUAUUCGAGCACACCGAGCAGGACGCAAAGUCAACUUUGCUGAGUUGCCUGUUCCUCCGGGAUUUCCCCCCAUCCCUGGCCUGGAGCCCACUAUGGGUGUUGAGGAGGACGCAGUGGCAGCGACAUUGGCAGCUGCAGAGAAACUGGCUUCCGCAGAGGAUACAGCCCCAGCUCAUGAAGACGAGGACGAGGGUGAGCCCCCAGCACAGGCCCCAGUGGCCAAGAAACCUGCACGGCCUACAGUCCCUUCAUCCCAGCGCCUGCCUGAGCCCAGGGCCUCAAGUUCUAAGGAGUCACCGAGUCCAUCUGUGCGGGAGCAGCUGGCACUGCUGGAGGCACGGAAACUGCAGUACCAACGGGCAGCCCUGCAGGCCAAGCGCAGCCAGGACCUGGAGCAGGCCAAAGCCCAUCUGCGGGUGGCCAAAUGUCUUGAGGCUCAGAUCAUCCAGGCCCGAUCUGGCAGACCUGUUGAUCUGUCCAAGAGGAGUAAUCUGACUCUUGGGGCCCGAGGGGCCUUGUGACCUGGGUAGGUGCCUUCACCCUUGACGGAUGAGGAGGGUGACUUCAUCCUCAUCCACCACGAGGACCUGCGACUCUCCCAGAAGGCGGAAGAGGUGUAUGCCCAGCUGCAAAAAAUGCUUCUGGAGCAACAAGAGAAGUGUCUGCUGUUCUCCAAGCAGUUCAUGCACCAGGGCAACGUGGCUGAGACCACCCGGUAAGUGCAAGGGCUGGGACUGGGCUCAUGGGGUGGGGAGAAAAUCCACCGUCAUGCUGACAUACCCAUCCCUGUCAGAUUUGAGAAGCUUGCUCAGGACUGCAAGAAACAGCUGGAGAUCCUGCAGCUGGCCCAGGCUCAGGGCCUCGACCCUCCCAGCCACCACUUUGAGUUGAAGACAUUCCAGACCGUGAGGAUCUUCUCAGAACUCAACAGCACAGAAAUGCAUCUGAUCAUUGUCCGGGGAAUGAACCUCCCAGCCCCUCCAGGGGUGACUCCCGAUGACCUGGAUGCUUUUGUGCGGUUUGAGUUUCACUACCCUAACUCGGACCAGGCUCAAAAAAGCAAAACAGCUGUGGUGAAGAACACAAACUCUCCAGAAUUUGAUCAACUCUUCAAACUAAACAUCAACCGAAACCACCGGGGCUUCAAGAGGGUGAUCCAGAGCAAAGGCAUCAAGUUUGAGAUCUUCCACAAAGGGUCCUUCUUCAGAAGCGACAAGCUGGUUGGCACAGCACACCUGAAACUGGAGCGGCUGGAGAAUGAGUGUGAGAUCAGAGAAAUUGUGGAGGUCCUGGAUGGAAGGAAGCCCACCGGGGGGAAGCUGGAGGUGAAGGUGAGGCUGCGGGAGCCUCUGAGUGGCCAGGAUGUGCAGAUGGUCACUGAGAACUGGCUGGUUCUGGAGCCCAGGGGCUUGUGAGGUGGGCAGCUCUCUGGGCCUUCAGAACCUUUGCCCCCUGCUUUUACUCAACUACUCAACUCAUAUCUGGAGAGAAAGCCUAGGAGUUUCUCAUCUAUGAGAAAGACCAAGAGGCCAAACUGUUGGGUAGGGCUUAUGGGCUGAGUUUCUGAUGUUCCUCAGUAGAACUGGGAAGAGAAGCUAACCUUCCAAGGUUUAACUAUCUUCAGGAAACCCUUUCUAAAAUCUUUCUUUGUGUUUUCACUGCAGUUUAGACUGACUUCUUGUGCUUUGCACCCCUGUGUAGCCGAUGGCCAGCACCAGGAGAGGAGUCAGGCCGCGACUGUGCAGGAGUUGACUUUCCCAGCUUUGCUGGCUUCAGAAGCCUUUGUACAUAAGAGAGAUGCUGCUACCCAAGUACCAAAGACCUGUUAAGCAUGUGCA